Molecule: non-coding RNA, 32 nt
Filed under: Callithrix jacchus (white-tufted-ear marmoset)
Lineage: Eukaryota; Metazoa; Chordata; Mammalia; Primates; Cebidae
Also listed under: 3 other names
Source: RNAcentral
CCCGGCCCGGACACGGACAGGAUUGACAGAUU